UUUCGCAAUGCCCGAAAGGGUGACGAAGCGACGCCGCGUGUGGGAAGAAGGCCUUCGGGUUGUAAACCACUGUCGGGAGUUAAGAAAUGCAAGGAUAUUAAUAGUGUCUUUGUUUGACUAAGGCUCCGGAGGAAGCCACGGCUAACUCUGUGCCAGCAGCCGCGGUAAUACAGAGGCGGCAAGCGUUGUUCGGAAUUAUUGGGCGUAAAGAGCACGUAGGCGGCUAUGUAAGUCGGUUGUGAAAGCCUUCCGCUCAACGGAAGAACAGCAUCCGAUACUACAUGGCUUGAGUGCGGGAGGGGAGAGUGGAACUUCUGGUGGAGCGGUGAAAUGCGUAGAUAUCAGAAGGAAUGCCGGCGGCGAAAGCGGCUCUCUGGCCCAUAACUGACGCUGAGUGUGCGAAAGCUAGGGGAGCAAACGGGAUUAGAUACCCCGGUAGUCCUAGCCGUAAACGAUGGGCACUAAGUAGAGGGGUUUU
This 478-nucleotide ribosomal RNA is filed under the name uncultured Planctomycetales bacterium. RNAcentral's name for it is "bacterial SSU rRNA". It matches the Rfam family "Bacterial small subunit ribosomal RNA", at positions 364 to 832 of the family's 1533-position model. The record is from RNAcentral. Lineage: Bacteria; Pseudomonadati; Planctomycetota; Planctomycetia; Planctomycetales.